This 161-nucleotide ribosomal RNA is filed under the name uncultured Alteromonas sp. Its description in RNAcentral is "partial 16S ribosomal RNA". It matches the Rfam family "Bacterial small subunit ribosomal RNA", at positions 355 to 508 of the family's 1533-position model. The record is from RNAcentral. Lineage: Bacteria; Pseudomonadati; Pseudomonadota; Gammaproteobacteria; Alteromonadales; Alteromonadaceae.
UGGGGAAUAUUGCACAAUGGGGGAAACCCUGAUGCAGCCAUGCCGCGUGUGUGAAGAAGGCCUUCGGGUUGUAAAGCACUUUCAGUUGUGAGGAAAAGUUAGUAGUUAAUACCUGCUAGCCGUGACGUUAACAACAGAAGAAGCACCGGCUAACUCCGUGC